Molecule: ribosomal RNA, 441 nt
Filed under: Triticum aestivum (bread wheat)
Lineage: Eukaryota; Viridiplantae; Streptophyta; Magnoliopsida; Poales; Poaceae
Description: partial small subunit ribosomal RNA
Source: RNAcentral
AUGCAGCAACCAGAUAAACGAAAUGCAUUACUCCAUCACCACACUGAUGCUCCAUCUCCCUCUGAUGGCAAGUGCGACCCUGAUGAAGCUGCUCCCCUACAUCAAGGACUACCCCAACAGUGCGGCCUUGAUGGCACAACUCCCAUACACCAAGGACUAGCCCCAUGGUGCGGCCACGACAUCACUGCUCCCCUACACUGCCGACUACAACCUGAGAUCUUAGAACAGGUUUGCAGGUUCAUUGGAAUGCACAGUAAGAAUUACAGUAAGAAGUUCAACUACGAGCCCAGACAUGAGAUUGAUGCACGAGAGCUUCUAGAUGUUCUUCUCGAUCUUGAAUAUUCAUUUUCUCCAACUAUGCAAGAUUUGCUUGUGUAUAAGUUUGAUAAGGCCAGGGGCAAGAACAAAGUGGUUGAUUCAUUGAUUAAUUCCAUUGGUUAA